RNAcentral lists this ribosomal RNA (385 nucleotides) under uncultured Enterobacteriaceae bacterium. RNAcentral's name for it is "bacterial SSU rRNA". It matches the Rfam family "Bacterial small subunit ribosomal RNA", at positions 355 to 729 of the family's 1533-position model. The record is from RNAcentral. Lineage: Bacteria; Pseudomonadati; Pseudomonadota; Gammaproteobacteria; Enterobacterales; Enterobacteriaceae.
UGGGGAAUAUUCACAAUGGGCGCAAGCCUGAUGCAGCCAUGCCGCGUGUAUGAAGAAAGGUCCUUCGGGUUAGUAAAGUACUUUCAGCGGGGAGGAAGGCGAUAAGGUUAAUAACCUUGUCGAUUGACGUUACCCGCAGAAGAAGGCACCGGCUAACUCCGUGCCAGCAGCCGCGGUAAUACGGAGGGUGCAAGCGUUAAUCGGAAUUACUGGGCGUAAAGCGCACGCAGGCGGUCUGUCAAGUCGGAUGUGAAAUCCCCGGGCUCAACCUGGGAACUGCAUUCGAAACUGGCAGGCUGGAGUCUUGUAGAGGGGGUAGAAUUCCAGGUGUAGCGGUGAAAUUGCGUAGAGAUCUGGAGGAAUACCGGUGGCGAAGGCGGCCCCC